GGGUUGUGAGGUUAAGCGACUAAGCGUACACGGUGGAUGCCUUGGCAGUCAGAGGCGAUGAAGGGCGUGCUAAUCUGCGAUAAGCGCCGGUAAGGUGAUAUGAACCGUUAUAACCGGCGAUACCCGAAUGGGGAAACCCAGUGUGACUCGUCACACUAUCAUUAACUGAAUCCAUAGGUUAAUGAGGCGAACCGGGGGAACUGAAACAUCUAAGUACCCCGAGGAAAAGAAAUCAACCGAGAUUCCCCCAGUAGCGGCGAGCGAACGGGGAGGAGCCCAGAGCCUGAAUCAGCAUGUGUGUUAGUGGAAGCGUCUGGAAAGGCGCGCGAUACAGGGUGACAGCCCCGUACACAAAAGCGCAUGUGCUGUGAGCUCGAUGAGUAGGGCGGGACACGUGGUAUCCUGUCUGAAUAUGGGGGGACCAUCCUCCAAGGCUAAAUACUCCUGACUGACCGAUAGUGAACCAGUACCGUGAGGGAAAGGCGAAAAGAACCCCGGCGAGGGGAGUGAAAAAGAACCUGAAACCGUGUACGUACAAGCAGUGGGAGCACCCUUUGGGGUGUGACUGCGUACCUUUUGUAUAAUGGGUCAGCGACUUAUAUUCUGUAGCAAGGUUAACCGAAUAGGGGAGCCGGAGGGAAACCGAGUCUUAACCGGGCGUUAAGUUGCAGGGUAUAGACCCGAAACCCGGUGAUCUAGCCAUGGGCAGGUUGAAGGUUGGGUAACACUAACUGGAGGACCGAACCGACUAAUGUUGAAAAAUUAGCGGAUGACCUGUGGCUGGGGGUGAAAGGCCAAUCAAACCGGGAGAUAGCUGGUUCUCCCCGAAAGCUAUUUAGGUAGCGCCUCGUGAAUUCAUCUCCGGGGGUAGAGCACUGUUUCGGCUAGGGGGCCAUCCCGGCUUACCAACCCGAUGCAAACUGCGAAUACCGGAGAAUGUUAUCACGGGAGACACACGGCGGGUGCUAACGUCCGUCGUGAAGAGGGAAACAACCCAGACCGCCAGCUAAGGUCCCAAAGUCAUGGUUAAGUGGGAAACGAUGUGGGAAGGCCCAGACAGCCAGGAUGUUGGCUUAGAAGCAGCCAUCAUUUAAAGAAAGCGUAAUAGCUCACUGGUCGAGUCGGCCUGCGCGGAAGAUGUAACGGGGCUAAACCAUGCACCGAAGCUGCGGCAGCGAACGUAUCACUUAAAGCGAUUCAGCGGGUUACGAUUGACGGAGCGAAGCGACGUCAAAGCGUAUACAAAGUCG
Molecule: ribosomal RNA, 1250 nt
Filed under: Salmonella enterica subsp. enterica serovar Muenchen
Lineage: Bacteria; Pseudomonadati; Pseudomonadota; Gammaproteobacteria; Enterobacterales; Enterobacteriaceae
Description: partial 23S ribosomal RNA
Rfam family: Bacterial large subunit ribosomal RNA
Source: RNAcentral